GAUGAGAAUUGUAAAAACUCUUAUGGCCUAAACGUUAACAACAUAAACGAAACAAGUAUAAAUAAUAUAAAAAUUUUAAGUGGUGGGAAUAAUAAUAAUAAUAGUAAUAAUAAUAAUAUAGAUGGAACUACGCUGACUAAUGAUUUACAUUUUAAAGGUUAUGAGCCCAACUUACAAUCAAAACAGGUAAAUAGAAAUAUAUACAGUAACGAAAAUCACAAUUUAAAUAUUCCCCACCAUACUCAUGACAGUUAUUUUAAUGCUGGUACGAGAACCCUAGUAAAUACCGUUGCUAAUGUAGACGGUAUUAAUGUAGACGAUAUUAAUGCAGACGACACUAAUACAGACGACACUAAUGCAGACGACACUAAUGCAGACGAUAAGAAUGUAGACGAUACGAAUAUAGACGAUACGAAUGUCAACGAUACGAAUGUCAGCGAUACGAAUGUCAACGAUACGAAUGUCAACGACACUAAUGUAGAUGAUACUAUUGCAGACGAUACUAUUGCAGACGAUACUAUUGCAGACGAUACUAUUGCAGACAAUACUAUUGUAGACGAUACUAUUGCAGACGAUACUAUUGCAGACGAUACUAUUGCAGACAAUACUAACAAAUCUAACGACAAUCCCUCAGAACAAAUACAAACAGAAGAUUCUCAAAAUUAUAAACAAGAGAGUAUCAAAGGUGUUAAUUGUAAUGACAAAAUCAAUAGAAAUGACGACAUCCGUAGUAGUAGUAGUAUUACUAGUAGUAGUAGUAGUAGUAGCAGUAAAGGGAAAAUAUUAAUAAACAUAAAUCAAAGUAGUAAUAAAAAUAACGAACAAAAUAACUAUGAAAAUAAUUCUACUAUGAAUGAGUAUUUGAUAAGUUAUGAUCAUGAUAAGUCUACUGAAAUGUCUAUGUUUAGUAACAUCAAUAAUUGUGUAUCUUUUUUUCAUAUGAAUUGUGAUAAUAUUGUUGGUCGUAACCUGGUGAGUAGUAAUAAUGAUGGAUGCCAUCAUACUAAUGGUGAUAGUAGUAACAUUUCCAGUAACAAUAGUAUAAAUAAUAACACAGAUAAAUAUACAGAGACAUAUUUAAGUAGGAAUUAUAAUCCCACGUUAGUUAACGGUAG
Molecule: long non-coding RNA, 1115 nt
Filed under: Piliocolobus tephrosceles (Ugandan red Colobus)
Lineage: Eukaryota; Metazoa; Chordata; Mammalia; Primates; Cercopithecidae
Description: lncRNA (ENSPTEG00000002298.1)
Source: RNAcentral